This 290-nucleotide ribosomal RNA is filed under the name uncultured bacterium. RNAcentral's name for it is "partial 16S ribosomal RNA". It matches the Rfam family "Bacterial small subunit ribosomal RNA", at positions 28 to 329 of the family's 1533-position model. The record is from RNAcentral.
GACGAACGCUGGCGGUGUGCUUCACACAUGCAAGUCGAACGGGGUAGCAAUACCCAGUGGCGGACGGGUGAGUAACGCGUAGAAAUCUGCCUUGAGAUGGGGGAUAACAGUCCGAAAGGACUGCUAAUACCGCAUAUGUAUGUAUCUCGACAGAGGUGUAUAUGAAAGGAGUAAUCCGUCUUAAGAUGAGUCUGCGUCCGAUUAGCUAGUUGGUAGGGUAAAGGCCUACCAAGGCGACGAUCGGUAGCUGGUCUGAGAGAUGAUCAGACCACAAUGGGACUGAGACACGG